GCGAAACCUCCUCUCCUUCCUCUUCCCUUUGUACGUUCGUUCUCAACCUACAGUACAGAAGAGAAAACCUACAGCCACCACACACACCCCUCCUCCAAUUCCUUCAACUCUCAACCGUUUCAAGUUCCCAAGAUAUGUAGAAGUGUGUCUUGAUCUACUCUUCCAAUCUCACCACUUGUCCUGCCCUCUCCCUUCUCUUUCUCUACAGAAACUCUCUCCAAAGAAACAGUGUUCCAUGGACGUCGGUCCUCGAUUAUGAUGAAGGAGACCAUCCCCGUCCAUCCAGUUGCGUCAAAAGGUUCUCCUUCAUGCGUUAAAUCCAUUAAGGGAAGAAAGAACGCGAUCCGUUCACCACACACGCAGAAUUUCGCAUGUCCGUCUACACUAUUCGUCGAGUUCUUUGCGUCGUUCUGUCAAACUCGGGAGUGGCGAGGUUGGACAUGGAAAGAAACAGGUUACCGAAGAAGGACUCAACAACGAAGAGUUCCAUGAAGACGAAGGUGAUGGCUACAACAACUAUGGCGAUCUGUAUGAGUGAGGUCACGUGGACUACAUCGACUGCGUGUGGCUGAGAUGGAGUGACUACGCAUUUUUUACUUUCCGCUGUUAUCUCUAUGUAAUUAAUGUCAUUAGACAUUUCCCUAUGUAUGCCUUGUGGCAAGAUUUAUUAAACUUGUAAUACAUUUGUGCAUUGUGCAAUGAUACCAUUUCGCUGUGUUGUCAACAA
Molecule: ribosomal RNA, 727 nt
Filed under: Triticum aestivum (bread wheat)
Lineage: Eukaryota; Viridiplantae; Streptophyta; Magnoliopsida; Poales; Poaceae
Description: partial small subunit ribosomal RNA
Source: RNAcentral